This 433-nucleotide ribosomal RNA is filed under the name uncultured bacterium. RNAcentral describes it as "partial 16S ribosomal RNA". It matches the Rfam family "Bacterial small subunit ribosomal RNA", at positions 29 to 507 of the family's 1533-position model. The record is from RNAcentral.
AACGAACGCUGGCGGCAUGCCUAACACAUGCAAGUCGAACGAGACCUUCGGGUCUAGUGGCGCACGGGUGCGUAACGCGUGGGAACCUGCCCUUAGGUUCGGAAUAACUCCCCGAAAGGGGUGCUAAUACCGGAUAAUGACUUCGGACCAAAGAUUUAUCGCCUUUGGAUGGGCCCGCGUUGGAUUAGCUAGUUGGUAGGGUAAAAGCCUACCAAGGCGACGAUCCAUAGCUGGUCUGAGAGGAUGAUCAGCCACACUGGGACUGAGACACGGCCCAGACUCCUACGGGAGGCAGCAGUGGGGAAUAUUGGACAAUGGGCGAAAGCCUGAUCCAGCAAUGCCGCGUGAGAGAUGAAGGCCUUAGGGUUGUAAAGCUCUUUUACCCGGGAUGAUAAUGACAGUACCGGGAGAAUAAGCUCCGGCUAACUCCGUG